GUCUACAGCCAUGCCACCCUGAAUGAGCCCAAUCCCAUCUGAUCUUGGAAGCUAAGCAGGGUCAGGCCUAUUUAGUACUUAGAUGGGAGACCACCUAGGAAAACCAGGUGCUAUAGGCG
Non-coding RNA from Pteropus alecto (black flying fox), 119 nucleotides. The record is from Rfam. Lineage: Eukaryota; Metazoa; Chordata; Mammalia; Chiroptera; Pteropodidae.